GCUGGGGACAGAGCUCAGCUGGUAGAGUGCUUGCCUCACAUGUACGAGGCCCUGGGUUCAGUCCCCAGCACCACCA
This 76-nucleotide transfer RNA is filed under the name Marmota monax (woodchuck). Its description in RNAcentral is "tRNA.Val". Lineage: Eukaryota; Metazoa; Chordata; Mammalia; Rodentia; Sciuridae. The record is from RNAcentral.